GACGAACGCUGGCGGCGUGCUUAACACAUGCAAGUCGAACGGAAAGGCCCUGCUUUUGUGGGGUGCUCGAGUGGCGAACGGGUGAGUAACACGUGAGUAACCUGCCCUUGACUUUGGGAUAACUUCAGGAAACUGGGGCUAAUACCGGAUAGGAGCUCCUGCUGCAUGGUGUGGGUUGGAAAGUUUCGGCGGUUGGGGAUGGACUCGCGGCUUAUCCGCUUGUUGGUGGGGUAGUGGCUUACCAAGGCUUUGACGGGUAGCCGGCCUGAGAGGGUGACCGGCCACAUUGGGACUGAGAUACGGCCCAGACUCCUACGGGAGGCAGCAGUGGGGAAUAUUGCACAAUGGGCGGAAGCCUGAUGCAGCAACGCCGCGUGCGGGAUGACGGCCUUCGGGUUGUAAACCGCUUUCGCCUGUGACGAAGCGUGAGUGACGGUAAUGGGUAAAGAAGCACCGGCUAACUACGUG
This 468-nucleotide ribosomal RNA is filed under the name uncultured bacterium. RNAcentral describes it as "partial 16S ribosomal RNA". It matches the Rfam family "Bacterial small subunit ribosomal RNA", at positions 28 to 507 of the family's 1533-position model. The record is from RNAcentral.